This 1087-nucleotide ribosomal RNA is filed under the name bacterium TM6. RNAcentral's name for it is "bacterial SSU rRNA". It matches the Rfam family "Bacterial small subunit ribosomal RNA", at positions 31 to 1130 of the family's 1533-position model. The record is from RNAcentral.
GAACGCUGGCGGCGUGCUUAACACAUGCAAGUCGAACGAUGACGGUGGUGCUUGCACCGCCUGAUUAGUGGCGAACGGGUGAGUAACACGUGAGUAACCUGCCCUCCACUUCGGGAUAACCUCGGGAAAUCGUGGCUAAUACCGGAUAUGAGCACUCAUCGCAUGGUGGGUGUUGGAAAGAUUUAUCGGUGGGGGAUGGACUCGCGGCCUAUCAGUUUGUUGGUGAGGUGAUGGCUCACCAAGACGAUGACGGGUAGCCGGCCUGAGAGGGCGACCGGCCACACUGGGACUGAGACACGGCCCAGACUCCUACGGGAGGCAGCAGUGGGGAAUAUUGCACAAUGGGCGAAAGCCUGAUGCAGCGACGCCGCGUGGGGGAUGACGGCCUUCGGGUUGUAAACCCCUUUCAGUAGGGAAGAAGCGAGAGUGACGGUACCUGCAGAAGAAGCGCCGGCUAACUACGUGCCAGCAGCCGCGGUAAUACGUAGGGCGCAAGCGUUGUCCGGAAUUAUUGGGCGUAAAGAGCUUGUAGGUGGCUUGUCGCGUCUGCCGUGAAAACCCGAGGCUCAACCUCGGGCGUGCGGUGGGUACGGGCAGGCUAGAGUGUGGUAGGGGAGACUGGAACUCCUGGUGUAGCGGUGAAAUGCGCAGAUAUCAGGAAGAACACCGAUGGCGAAGGCAGGUCUCUGGGCCAUUACUGACACUGAGAAGCGAAAGCAUGGGUAGCGAACAGGAUUAGAUACCCUGGUAGUCCAUGCCGUAAACGUUGGGCACUAGGUGUGGGGGACAUUCCACGUUUUCCGCGCCGUAGCUAACGCAUUAAGUGCCCCGCCUGGGGAGUACGGCCGCAAGGCUAAAACUCAAAGGAAUUGACGGGGGCCCGCACAAGCGGCGGAGCAUGCUGAUUAAUUCGAUGCAACGCGAAGAACCUUACCAAGGCUUGACAUGCACUGGACGGCUGCAGAGAUGUGGCUUUCUUUGGACUGGUGCACAGGUGGUGCAUGGUUGUCGUCAGCUCGUGUCGUGAGAUGUUGGGUUAAGUCCCGCAACGAGCGCAACCCUCGUUCUAUGUUGCCAGCACGUGAUG